GGGUCAGUAGGUUGGUCGUGCCACCGGUACGUACUGGUCUCACUGAUUUCUCCUUCCUGAAGAACCGUAAUGCCCUUAAUUUGGUGUUGCGGGGAAACAGGACUGUUACUUUGAAAAAAUUAGAGUGUUUAAAGCAAGCUAACGCUUGAAUACAUUAGCAUGGAAUAAUGAAAUAGGACGAUCGAUCCUAUUUUGUUGGUUUCUAGGAUUGACGUA
RNAcentral lists this ribosomal RNA (216 nucleotides) under Glomeromycotina sp. Its description in RNAcentral is "partial small subunit ribosomal RNA". The stretch from base 40 to 216 matches the Rfam family "Eukaryotic small subunit ribosomal RNA", at positions 686 to 864 of the family's 1831-position model. Lineage: Eukaryota; Fungi; Glomeromycota. The record is from RNAcentral.